AUUGAACGCUGGCGGCAUGCUUUACACAUGCAAGUCGAACGGUAACAGGCCUUCGGGUGCUGACGAGUGGCGAACGGGUGAGUAAUGCAUCGGAACGUGCCCAAUCGUGGGGGAUAACGUAGCGAAAGUUACGCUAAUACCGCAUAAGCCCUGAGGGGGAAAGUGGGGGACCGCAAGGCCUCACGCGAAUGGAGCGGCCGAUGUCAGAUUAGCUAGUUGGUGGGGUAAAGGCUCACCAAGGCGACGAUCUGUAGCGGGUCUGAGAGGAUGAUCCGCCACACUGGGACUGAGACACGGCCCAGACUCCUACGGGAGGCAGCAGUGGGGAAUUUUGGACAAUGGGCGCAAGCCUGAUCCAGCCAUGCCGCGUGCGGGACGAAGGCCUUCGGUUGUAAACCGCUUUCAGCUGGAAGAAAUACGCUGUUUUUAAUACGGACAGUGGAUGACGGUACCGGAAGAAGAAGCACCGGCUAACUACGUAGCCAGCAGCCGCGGUAAA
This 499-nucleotide ribosomal RNA is filed under the name uncultured bacterium. RNAcentral's name for it is "bacterial SSU rRNA". It matches the Rfam family "Bacterial small subunit ribosomal RNA", at positions 29 to 524 of the family's 1533-position model. The record is from RNAcentral.